This 660-nucleotide ribosomal RNA is filed under the name Monolophus secundus. Its description in RNAcentral is "eukaryotic LSU rRNA". The stretch from base 228 to 383 matches the Rfam family "5.8S ribosomal RNA". The record is from RNAcentral. Lineage: Eukaryota; Viridiplantae; Streptophyta; Magnoliopsida; Zingiberales; Zingiberaceae.
UCGUAACAAGGUUUCCGUAGGUGAACCUGCGGAAGGAUCAUUGUUGAGAGAGCAUAAAAUGAUGGAUGGUUGUGAAUGUGUCAACGUGCCCCUUUUGUUGCCCCAUGUUGGUGGGUGAUUGACUGUAGCUCGGUGCGAUCGGCACUAAGGAACAAUGAACUCGAAAGCAGAGGGCCCCUUGGCGUGCACGGGGUGCCCAACGCGUUAAAGAUUCCUCGGAAUCAAAUGACUCUCGGCAAUGGAUAUCUCGGCUCUUGCAUCGAUGAAAAACGUAGUGAAAUGUGAUACUUGGUGUGAAUUGCAAAAUCUCGUGAACCAUUGAGUCUUUGAACGCAAGUUGCGCCCGAGGCCUUGUGGCCGAGGGCAUGCCUGCUUGGGCGUCAUGGCAUCGUCGCUUUCGCUCCAUGCUUUGAUGUUUUGGAGUGCGAAAAUUGGCCUCGUGUGCCCUCGGGCAUAGUCGGCUGAAGAAUGGGUAACCAGCAGUCGUCGGGCACGAUUGGUGUUGGUCGUUAUGAGCGGGAACUAAACAUCGUCCUCGUCGUCGUGGGAUGAGUCCUCAAGAGACCCUAUGUGAUUGGGGCAGCAGGCGAAUGUGUCGCGUCCAUCAAAUUGUGGCCCCAAGUCAGGCGAGGCCACCCGCCGAGUUUAAGCAUAUCAAUA